RNAcentral lists this ribosomal RNA (96 nucleotides) under Erinaceus europaeus (western European hedgehog). The record is from RNAcentral. Lineage: Eukaryota; Metazoa; Chordata; Mammalia; Eulipotyphla; Erinaceidae.
UAUGGCCAUACCACCCUGAACAUAUCCGAUCUCAGAAGCUAAGCAGAGUCGAGUUUGGUUAGUACCUGGAUGGGAGAAAUCAGUAAAGAACCAGGA